Molecule: long non-coding RNA, 1708 nt
Organism: Herpailurus yagouaroundi (jaguarundi)
Lineage: Eukaryota; Metazoa; Chordata; Mammalia; Carnivora; Felidae
Exons: 4
Source: RefSeq, a predicted model, not a curated record
ACCAAACACAGAGGUAGAGGGAGAAAAGGGGGCGGAGUUGCGAGGGUGAGCCGGAGGCGAGGGGAGGGCUCAGCCCUGCAGCGCGGGAGCCACGCCCUGAGGGGACAGAGCUGUGGCCCUGGGGACGCCAAGGCCGCAACUUCUGCAACCAACCUGAGGUAUAUACUGGGAAUACCAACUGUUGCCUUCAGGUCACUACCAAGUUGGGGAGUGGGAGAUGGUACCAGUUCCAGGUAAGAGGAAAUAAACACAUGGCCGCCUCUCUCCCUUACCGAGUAUACAACCUAGACAGUACACAGUGCAGCUACCUGAAGUCUCCGAACACCAUGACAGCUUAAAUACAGGGAGAGGGAUAAAGCUGGAGCCCAGGAAGAUGGGACAGAGGAGGAGCUGAGACCUGACCUUACAGAAUGUUUCAAGGGCACUGAAUGGGCCACGCUAUGGCAUCUGUGAUGAAAGAUGGGCACUGAGGAGGUAACCUCACUCGACUGCUCAGAGGCUGCAUGAAGAGGAACGUCCUUAGCAGUUAGAAGGGGUGAGUGGGGCAGGGAGGAGCUCAUGUUUCUUUACACAGCUUCUGCUAAACGCUUCAUAUGUGCUAUGCCAGGUAAGCCUCACUAAGCCUGGGACGUGGGGCGGGCCACCUAUUUUCCAGAAGAGCAAGCUGAGUCCCAGGGCCGUUAAACCUCUGUGUCAAAGGCCACAGUCGUGGUGAGUGACAGGGCUGAGGAAGCCUUCAAUAAACUUAUAUGCCUCCAUCAGAAUUGAUAUGAAUGAAACCCCCCAGAUUUCCUUCAUCCCUACACGUUUGAAUCCCAAACAGGCCAUGAACUUGAGAAGACAGAAGCCACCAGCAGUGUGAGGGAGGUGUAGAAAUCAAAAUAUUUCACUGUUCAGUGGUUUGCUGAACACAAGACACUCCACCCCAUGUCAUGAGACAUGAAAGAACAGGGGCUGGGGCCCUUGGUACCUUCACAGGUCUCCCUGAGGAGCUCGUCUCUGGCUGACAAAGAUAGGGGGCGGGUUUUCCACACGUCUCAUCUGGUCUCCUUGUCUCUGAGGAGGGCGCUGCCGUCAAGGAUGGAUUGGCCACAGUUCAGCCCAGGCCAGGGCGGCUGUCACAGCUGGGUGAAUUCAUGGCACUCUCGGUGGUUCCCAGACCUGCACGCCUCUCUUAGCAGAGCAAGUGACUAAGAGGAAGAGAUUUGCUUUGAGUCCCAACUAAGAAUGGAUUAAGACAGACCACUCUUUCUGAGGAAGGGGAAGCCAGAGGAACAAACCCCAGCUUUCGGGUUGAGGGGGGAUGCGGUUCUGUGGGCCCGUAGGGGAGGACAUGCGGAACGCCCCUAUGGGCAUGGGCAGGGGGCCACAGAAACUCUCAGAGGCUCAAAUCCAGGGGCUUGCUCGGCUCUUCAUGGGUGAGGGGCGUGGUCUCAGGACCCCAAUUGGCAAUGGAGAAAGAUCUAGCUCAGGGGCUGUGUAUUUAUAAGCUGCGAAUUACUGAGUAAUUAAAUACAUAACACAUAGAACCGGGGAGUAGACGUGCUAACAGCCUCCCUUAUGUUAAUUGUAUGUGUCACUGAGCACAUCAGCAUCAACUGCUUCAUAUUCGUGAUAAUAGUUAGUGUGUAGGGUUCUAGAACCUCUAGACUGGCACAGUCAAAACCUCAGAGGCCAUCCAGCUUGGUCUCCCAUAUCUGAUAUUAGA